This 1313-nucleotide ribosomal RNA is filed under the name Clostridium botulinum. RNAcentral's name for it is "bacterial SSU rRNA". It matches the Rfam family "Bacterial small subunit ribosomal RNA", at positions 200 to 1533 of the family's 1533-position model. The record is from RNAcentral. Lineage: Bacteria; Bacillati; Bacillota; Clostridia; Eubacteriales; Clostridiaceae.
AUCAAAGAUUUAUUGCUUUGAGAUGGACCCGCGGCGCAUUAGCUAGUUGGUAAGGUAACGGCUUACCAAGGCAACGAUGCGUAGCCGACCUGAGAGGGUGAUCGGCCACAUUGGAACUGAGACACGGUCCAGACUCCUACGGGAGGCAGCAGUGGGGAAUAUUGCGCAAUGGGGGAAACCCUGACGCAGCAACGCCGCGUGGGUGAUGAAGGUCUUCGGAUUGUAAAGCCCUGUUUUCUAGGACGAUAAUGACGGUACUAGAGGAGGAAGCCACGGCUAACUACGUGCCAGCAGCCGCGGUAAUACGUAGGUGGCGAGCGUUGUCCGGAUUUACUGGGCGUAAAGGGUGCGUAGGCGGAUGUUUAAGUGGGAUGUGAAAUCCCCGGGCUUAACCUGGGGGCUGCAUUCCAAACUGGAUAUCUAGAGUGCAGGAGAGGAAAGCGGAAUUCCUAGUGUAGCGGUGAAAUGCGUAGAGAUUAGGAAGAACACCAGUGGCGAAGGCGGCUUUCUGGACUGUAACUGACGCUGAGGCACGAAAGCGUGGGUAGCAAACAGGAUUAGAUACCCUGGUAGUCCACGCCGUAAACGAUGGAUACUAGGUGUAGGGGGUAUCAACUCCCCCUGUGCCGCAGUUAACACAAUAAGUAUCCCGCCUGGGGAGUACGGUCGCAAGAUUAAAACUCAAAGGAAUUGACGGGGGCCCGCACAAGCAGCGGAGCAUGUGGUUUAAUUCGAAGCAACGCGAAGAACCUUACCUGGACUUGACAUCCCUUGCAUAGCCUAGAGAUAGGUGAAGCCCUUCGGGGCAAGGAGACAGGUGGUGCAUGGUUGUCGUCAGCUCGUGUCGUGAGAUGUUAGGUUAAGUCCUGCAACGAGCGCAACCCUUGUUAUUAGUUGCUACCAUUAAGUUGAGCACUCUAAUGAGACUGCCUGGGUAACCAGGAGGAAGGUGGGGAUGACGUCAAAUCAUCAUGCCCCUUAUGUCCAGGGCUACACACGUGCUACAAUGGUAGGUACAAUAAGACGCAAGACCGUGAGGUGGAGCAAAACUUAUAAAACCUAUCUCAGUUCGGAUUGUAGGCUGCAACUCGCCUACAUGAAGCUGGAGUUGCUAGUAAUCGCGAAUCAGAAUGUCGCGGUGAAUACGUUCCCGGGCCUUGUACACACCGCCCGUCACACCAUGAGAGCUGGUAACACCCGAAGUCCGUGAGGUAACCGUAAGGAGCCAGCGGCCGAAGGUGGGAUUAGUGAUUGGGGUGAAGUCGUAACAAGGUAGCCGUAGGAGAACCUGCGGCUGGAUCACCUCCUUUCUA